AUUGAACGCUGGCGGCAGGCCUAACACAUGCAAGUCGGGCGAGCUGCGGACGGGUGCGUAAUGUAUGGGGACUGCCUGAUGGCGGGGGAUAACUACUGGAAACGGUAGCUAAUACCGCAUACCAUCAGCUAACCCAUAUGGGAUUAGCUAGUAGGUAAGGUAACGGCUUACCUAGGCGAUGAUCCCUAGCUGGUCUGAGAGGAUGAUCAGGAAAAAUGGGACUAGGACACAGCCCAGACUGCAAGGGAGGAAGCAGUGGGGAAUAUGGCACAAUGGGCGAAAGCCUGAUGCAGCCAUGCCGGGUGUAGGAAGAAGGCCCUAGGGUUGUAAAGUACUUUCAGUCGGGAGGCGUGACCGACAGAAGAAGCACCGGCUAACUCCGUGCCAGCAGCCGCGGUAAUAC
This 403-nucleotide ribosomal RNA is filed under the name uncultured bacterium. RNAcentral describes it as "partial 16S ribosomal RNA". It matches the Rfam family "Bacterial small subunit ribosomal RNA", at positions 30 to 526 of the family's 1533-position model. The record is from RNAcentral.